Molecule: ribosomal RNA, 538 nt
Filed under: uncultured bacterium
Lineage: Bacteria
Description: bacterial SSU rRNA
Rfam family: Bacterial small subunit ribosomal RNA
Source: RNAcentral
ACGUAAUAGAUACCCGGGUAGUCCACGCCCUAAACGAUGCGAACUGGAUGUUGGGUGCAACUAGGCACUCAGUAUCGAAAGCUAACGCGUUAAGUUCGCCGCCUGGGGAGUACGGUCGCAAGACUGAAACUCAAAGGAAUUGACGGGGGCCCGCACAAGCGGUGGAGUAUGUGGUUUAAAUUCGAUGCAACGCGCAGAACCUUACCUGGCCUUGACAUCCACGGAACUUUCCAGAGAUGGAUUGGUGCCUUCGGGAACCGUGAGACAGGUGCUGCAUGGCUGUCGUCAGCUCGUGUCGUGAGAUGUUGGGUUAAGUCCCGCAACGAGCGCAACCCUUGUCCUUAGUUGCCAGCACGUAAUGGUGGGAACUCUAAGGAGACCGCCGGUGACAAACCGGAGGAAGGUGGGGAUGACGUCAAGUCAUCAUGGCUCUUACGGCCAGGGCUACACACGUACUACAAUGGUGGGGACAGAGGGCUGCAAUCCCGCGAGGUGAGCCAAUCCCAGAAACCCCAUCUCAGUCCGGAUUGGAGUCUGC